UACGAAGGGGGCUAGCGUUGUUCGGAAUCACUGGGCGUAAAGCGCACGUAGGCGGAUCUUUAAGUCAGGGGUGAAAUCUCGAGGCUCAACUUCGAGCUGUCGGUGGAAACUGUCUGGCUAGAGUCCGGAAGAGGAGAAUGGAAUUCCUGGUGUAGCGGUGAAAUGCGCAGAUAUCAGGAAGAACACCCGUGGCGAAGGCGGUUCUCUGGGACGGUACUGACGCUGAGACGCGAAAGCGUGGGGAGCGAACAGG
This 253-nucleotide ribosomal RNA is filed under the name uncultured bacterium. RNAcentral's name for it is "partial 16S ribosomal RNA". It matches the Rfam family "Bacterial small subunit ribosomal RNA", at positions 524 to 776 of the family's 1533-position model. The record is from RNAcentral.